This 805-nucleotide ribosomal RNA is filed under the name uncultured Pelagibacteraceae bacterium. RNAcentral describes it as "bacterial SSU rRNA". It matches the Rfam family "Bacterial small subunit ribosomal RNA", at positions 34 to 887 of the family's 1533-position model. Lineage: Bacteria; Pseudomonadati; Pseudomonadota; Alphaproteobacteria; Candidatus Pelagibacterales; Candidatus Pelagibacteraceae. The record is from RNAcentral.
CGCUGGCGGCACGCCUAACACAUGCAAGUCGAACGAAGUAGCAAUACUUAGUGGCAGACGGGUGAGUAACAUGUAGGUAUCUACCCUAUGGCCUGGAAUAACACGAGGAAACUUGUGCUAAUACUGGAUAAGUCUUUACGGAGAAAGCUUUAUGCACCAUUGGAUGAGCCUGCACUUGAUUAGUUUGUUGGUAGGGUAAUGGCCUACCAAGACUUUGAUCAAUAGCUGAUUUGAGAGGAUGAUCAGCCACAUUGGGACUGAGACACGGCCCAAACUCCUACGGGAGGCAGCAGUGGGGAAUCUUGCACAAUGGAGGAAACUCUGAUGCAGCGAUGCCGCGUGAGUGAAGAAGGCCCUUGGGUUGUAAAGCUCUUUCGUCGGGGAAGAAAAUGACUGUACCCGAAUAAGAAGGUCCGGCUAACUUCGUGCCAGCAGCCGCGGUAAUACGAAGGGACCUAGCGUAGUUCGGAAUUACUGGGCUUAAAGAGUUCGUAGGUUGUUGAAAUAGUUGGUGGUGAAAUCCCAGAGCUUAACUCUGGAACUGCCAUCAAAACUUUUCAGCUAGAGUAUGAUAGAGGAAAGCAGAAUUUCUAGUGUAGAGGUGAAAUUCGUAGAUAUUAGAAAGAAUACCAAUUGCGAAGGCAGCUUUCUGGAUCAUUACUGACACUGAGGAACGAAAGCAUGGGUAGCGAAGAGGAUUAGAUACCCUCGUAGUCCAUGCCGUAAACGAUGUGUGUUAGACGUUGGAGAUUUAUCUUCAGUGUCGCAGCGAAAGCGAUAAACACACCGCCUGGGGAGUACGACC